This is a non-coding RNA of Penaeus vannamei (Pacific white shrimp), 232 nucleotides long. The record is from RefSeq and is a predicted model, not a curated record. NCBI's taxonomy places the organism in Eukaryota, Metazoa, Arthropoda, Malacostraca, Decapoda, Penaeidae.
AGUAGACGCCGGUUAUAAGGCCGGAGCCGGGACAGGAGAGACGAGACUUGUGAGCUUCAGUCUGCGUCCAGCUACUAGACGGGAAGGUAGCGGUCGUCUCUCUGCUCGCAGCAUGUUGUGGGCGGGGUUCGUGUCCCUCGCGGCCCUGAGUGUGGGCGCGGGGGCGGCGUCGGAUCGGGUCGCGGCGAGGGCGUGCUUCCACCACCCCAACAACGGCGGCACCAUCUAUGAC